This is a long non-coding RNA of Lepisosteus oculatus (spotted gar), 3040 nucleotides long. The record is from Ensembl. Lineage: Eukaryota; Metazoa; Chordata; Actinopteri; Semionotiformes; Lepisosteidae.
GGCGCAUAAUGGGACAAUUGUUGUCAAGGGGCUUUUAUGUCAAAUAAAAAGGUUUUUAAUUUCACUUUGUUACGCUGAGAAAUCAUGAAGUUUGCUCGGAAUUUGCUUUUCGAAAGCCUGUCCGCUUGCAAAACUGCCAGAAUGUGUCAUGGAAGGAUUUAAAGCUGCUUUGUGGGCACAGACGGGAAAAGACAGAAAAUCCACUCAGGCACUCUGCACACAGCCCAGAACAAAUUGUCAUCUUAUCUACGGAUUCUUCCAAUAACAGCUCGCCGAAUUGUCUCAGGGCUGUGAUCUUACACAUACUGGAACAACAAUGGCCCCAAAGCUGCUUUUAAAAGGCUUUCUUCUGCUUUUAAUCACACUGACAAGAAGCUCCAUAUUUGUGUCAGGUCAAGAAACUACAACUGCAACAUCACUUAGCAACUCUACAGCUGAUUCAUCUACUCCAAACAUAACAUCUGCAGAACCAACAACAUCUGGAAUGAAUGACUCCUCAUCAUCGAAUGUUUCAUUCAGCGCUACUACAGCACCUGGAGUUGGAUCAAUGGUCACUACCAUUCCAACCAAUGGCACAGGAAACACAAGUUACUCUUGGGCCACCACUGUUUCUCCAGUCUCUGGAAUGACAUCAGUUUAUGCAAACUCCACUUCUGCAGCGAACAGCAUGACUAGUUUGCUCGCCUGUAAGUCUUUCAGCUGCAGUGCGCCAGAUUGCUACACAAUGUAUAUGAACGAGACAGCAAGCAACUGCUCUUCUGGCAAUGCCUUCUGUGAGCUCAAACGGCUGAGCAGCAGCAACUACACCACGGGCUGCAGCACCACCUGCAACAGCACGUCCAGCAGGUGCGCGAAUGAAACCCAGCUUCCGUGUGUUGUCGAGUGCUGCCGAACCCCCAACUGCCUGAACGGAUCCAUGCAGCUCAUCAGAACCAGCUUCGUGACUACACGUGCGCCAACAACCACCACCACUAACCCAACUACAACUGUUGCAAAUAAUGGCAAGAAGUGCCAGACCAUGACUUGCAAUGGUGAAGCCUGCUACAAAACACAAGCGAAAAACGACAAGUUGUGUCCCAUCGGAUAUGAGUUUUGUGAGCUGAAAAAGACAGUUGCCAAUGCUGUCAUGACCUGGACCUCAGGCUGUAGCAAGGACUGCAUCAAGCUCCCCUUGAUCGUCUGCACAUCCACUACUGUGGACUGCCUUCAGGAAUGCUGUAAUGCAACUCAGAAAGAAUCUUGUCUCAAGAUGGAUGGGUCUGUUAACAUGCCCAAUGGUGCCAGCACACUUUAUAUUCCUUCACACUUCAUAUUCCUGACCAGCUCAUUCCUGAUCUGGAUUUUAAAUAGUCAGCUUCAAUCCCUCCUGAUUCAGUAGGCCAGGAGAGAGUGUCGAUUCUUUCUGUGGCUUAGUGCGAACAACUCAAGUUGACUGACAGAGCAGGACAUGUCCUUUGUACUGUAGUUUCACAUGUCUGUUUUGUAUUCUUUUUUUUUUUGUUUGUUUCGCAUGUUUGGUGAGCAAAGGUAACAGCUAAAGGGCACAACGAAACAGGAGUAGCUUUUACAGUCGCGUCAAUGCUUAACGUUUUGCAAGAAACAACUCAUGCUAAAAAAGACUUGAUCUUUGUUAUGGCUAUACAAAUUACACCUGUAUCAUGCAUAUUGGGCAUUGCUGAAAAAAAUAUUGUUACUGUCAUUCAAGCACUACUGUAUGCAUGCUGUCAGUUUUGGGGGGAUUUCUAAAGUAUGUUUUGCUUUAGAAAUAUAUCUUUUGCUUUUAGAUGUAAUUUUAUAAAAUAAUAUUACAUGAAGCCUUUUUUAUAAAAAUGCACUUUCAUCACUGAAUUAAGAAUUUCUGUCUUUACAGAAAUAUUACUCAUGAAUUAAAGUUGGGCCCAUUGACUGCAUUUCAAUACUGACAGUAAAUAUUGAAAAAAAGUCUCCUUUCUAGGCACAGUACAGUAUCUUCAAAGAUAGAUAUUCUGGCAUGUAUUUUAUAGACAAAAAGACAUAUAUAAUUCAUUGGAAGUUGGCAAGCAAAGUGCUUUCAAGUUGUUAAUUCACCAGAUGUACAAUGCUUGAGUGCAGGUCCAUUUCUAUAGUCCUAUAUGCCCCAAGGUAUUUAUAUCUCCUUCAAUGGUAACAUCUCAUUACCUUCUCCGAUGUGUGAUGUAUUCAAAGGUUUAUCAGUUGUAUUGUGCUAAGCUACAUAAAACAUUAAUAAUAUGGUACACAAAAACAGUUACAGAUAUUGUUAUACCUCUUCAUGAAGUUCAUCUUGGUCUAUAUUGUAACUGCUAGUUUUAGCUUUAAGUAUCCGAAUGCCUCAAUCAUUUAAAUUAAAAUUUGUAAAUAGUUUUCUUUGAAAAAAUCAGGUUGUAAAAAAGGCUUAACAAAAAUCAAUUCACUUUUCUGCCACAACAUCAAUUAUGUUUUUAAAAAAUUUUACAUUUUCUGUGUACUAUAUAUAUGUGAUAUUGUACAUUAAAAUAUAGCAAUAUAUAAUUAUAUUUUCCCUUAUGAAUUAUUGUGGUACAAAAAAGUACAACAAUAAACAUUACAUUUUCCCCUUAACAAUUAUUUGAAGAGCAGUUUAUUUUUUAAAUUAUAUAUCUUGUUCUUGCUUUUACUGCUUUGUAACAUACUAUACAAAAUAAACUUUCAAAGAGAUUAUUCUAUAAUAAAACAAAACUGAGUAGCUUGCGUUGUAUUACUGAUAAGCAUGUACUGCAUUGCCAAGUUUUUGUGACAGACUGUAAGUGAUGUAAUACAAAAGACAGAGAUAUUUAACUAUCACUUGAUAUUAAUAUCUUUUUAAAUAGCAUUAAAUAUAGCAAGAAGCAUUCAAUAAAAAAAUAUUCCAAAAUUGUAUUUUAGCUUUGUUCAAUCAAUGGGAAAGGUGCAGCUGUGGUCAAAAACUGAAACUCAAUUCACUAAUCAAAUUCACAUUCCAGCUCCAGGACUAGUACUGUAAGUGGCAUUAUACUGUAUAUAGCAGUGGAUAUACAGUACAGUAUAUACUGGGCUUAAGUCUUUA